Molecule: long non-coding RNA, 882 nt
Filed under: Elaeis guineensis (African oil palm)
Lineage: Eukaryota; Viridiplantae; Streptophyta; Magnoliopsida; Arecales; Arecaceae
Description: long non-coding RNA (EGUI_LNC048856)
Source: RNAcentral
GGUGAGAUCUAAAAUCUUAAAAUUCUAAUCUUAAAUAUUUCUGAUUGUAGGAACAUUAAGUCGGAGAUCAAUAUUUCAGAAAGACUGGCACAUCCUAUGUAUGCUAGAUGGAGAGGAUGGCAGAUCCACAGCCACUUGUGUGGGAUACUAAUACAAAGAUAUGGGUACUCAUUUAGAAAAUGAGUCCACUGAAUUGACUCAUUGAAAGAGAAUAUCGUAUGGAAGUCUUACUUGCAUGUCAAAGAUGGUUCUCUAAGUAGAAGUUGUGCAAGUGAUCCUUAGACCUGAGAUCACCAUGAAAUUUUGUGCACAUGAAUCUAUAUUUUGGUUCAUACUCAAGUAUAGCAUUAAGACAUGUAUGGGGUAUUCUAGAUAUAGUGGAGUGUGUAUGAAGAUUGUGAGUAGGUCAACAUGGAAUCGAGCACUCCUAGUAAGAGGAGAUCGCAUCCUAUGUAUUCUCAUUCCUAGAUGACUCAGAAAAAAUCUUUUGAUCAAAAGUAGAAAAGAGAUUAAAAAGAGUUUCUAAUACUUUUUUAUUAGAGUCAUCAUUGAUUAAUUGAGAAUCGAUUUGAAUAUGUGUUUGAGUUUGACAUGAUUCCAUACUCAUGAACAUAUUUUGGGUGGAGGGAUGAUCGAAGGAUUGAAUUGCAUGGUAACUUGCCACUAAAGGGUAUAUUUAGUAUUUUUAUCAAAUUUCAUAUAUUUUAGGUAGUCAUGAUAUAUUGCUAGACAUCAAUCUUGACUUGUAGAUUUGAUUAAAUUAAAGAGUUUAAUUCGAUCACCAAUUGAAAGAAUUCUAAUUGUUGAACUCGGGUUAGCUCGAUUGGAUCUAAAUCGAUUAGAUUGAAGUCUAAUCAAAUUUGAUCAACUUAUAUUCGAACC